This 948-nucleotide long non-coding RNA is filed under the name Cicer arietinum (chickpea). RNAcentral describes it as "long non-coding RNA (CARI_LNC002710)". Lineage: Eukaryota; Viridiplantae; Streptophyta; Magnoliopsida; Fabales; Fabaceae. The record is from RNAcentral.
AUGAACACAUCUACAUGAUUAGUUAAAACAAGGCUAAGGAUAAAGGGUUCCACAAUUCCACUGUUUUUUCUUUUUUCAAUAAGAAGGGGAUUGUGUCAUAAAAAGAGUAAGGAGAUGUACCCAAAACAAACAAAAGGCACGAGACUUUGGACUUUUGAGUCUUCUCUUCUUUAAUCUUCAAGAUUACUCUUUUACAACAUCAAGAGUACAUGAAUAAGAAUGGAAGGAAGGGAGGUCGACACAAUCUGAGAGACUUGAGGAAGGACACCUUAUUCCUUUUAAAGAGGGCAAAUAUAAGAAGUUGCUUAUUGUUGUAUGAGAAUUGAUUUAAACCCAACGCAAAAGCUAGAGAACAUAUCUUCGAUUGGAGUCAAUUUUAACAUUUAGAAGGAAUUUCACAACUAAGAUUCAAACAUCUUCUUACCUCAAUCAAAUCAUUGAACACCCCUAUAAACGCAUGUUAUGGUGUAUUUGGCUCAACGGAAGGGAUGAGAAGAGGGAUUUUAAUAAAGGGAAAGGGAGCAUAGAUACUAGAGAUGUGUUUGGUUCAAAUCAGAAGAGAUGAUAUGUUUUUAUGGUUUUGUGUUUGGUUCAAGAGAAAGAAAAAUUUUAAAUAAAUUUAUUUAUUUAUAUUGAGUUUCUCUCUUCCUCUCUAGAUCACUCUAAAAUAGAAGGAGAGCAAAGAGAGCUCUAAAAGAGAUUUUAACUUUCUCCCCUCCAUCUACCCCCAACCAAACAUAAAACCAUGCAUAUACUUAGUAAUGCUAUCAAUCAAAUCGAGAGUGUGUUCAAGGUCAAAUUCUCAAUUCUUGAGAAUAAUAAUAUAAUAAAGGUUAAUUUUUAGAUACCCAUGAAAAAUAGAUAACGCAUGUUUGAUUCAAAAAAUAGGAGGGGAAGAAUUUUUAAUGGUUUUGUGUUUGAUUAAGUUAAAAAAAAAAAAUUUAAAUG